GCCAGCAGCCAUGUCACCCUGCAACUUGCAACUGGUUACUCACUGAAGCUCAGCAGGUGUGAGCCUGGUCAGUACCUGGAUGGGAGACCUCCUGGGAAAAACUGAGGGUGCUGCUGGAA
Molecule: ribosomal RNA, 119 nt
Organism: Lepisosteus oculatus (spotted gar)
Lineage: Eukaryota; Metazoa; Chordata; Actinopteri; Semionotiformes; Lepisosteidae
Source: Ensembl